UACGUAGGUGGCAAGCGUUGUCCGGAUUUACUGGGCGUAAAGAGCGCGCAGGCGGUCGGAUAAGUCGAAUGUGAAAGCCCCCGGCUUAACUGGGGAGGGUCAUUCGAUACUGUUCGACUGGAAGGCAGGAGAGGGAAGCGGAGUUCCCGGUGUAGUGGUGAAAUGCGUAGAUAUCGGGAGGAACACCAGUGGCGAAGGCGGCUUCCUGGCCUGUUCUUGACGCUGAGGCGCGAAAGCUAGGGGAGCAAACGGG
This 253-nucleotide ribosomal RNA is filed under the name uncultured bacterium. RNAcentral's name for it is "partial 16S ribosomal RNA". It matches the Rfam family "Bacterial small subunit ribosomal RNA", at positions 524 to 776 of the family's 1533-position model. The record is from RNAcentral.